GGCGCUGCGGAGGGAUCAUUGCUGGAACGCGCCCCAGGCGCACCCAGAAACCCUUUGUGAACUUAUACCUUACUGUUGCCUCGGCGCAUGCCGGCCCCCCCGGGGGCCCCUCGGAGACGAGGAGCAGGCACGCCGGCGGCCAAGUUAACUCUUGUUUUUACACUGAAACUCUGAGAAAAAAACACAAAUGAAUCAAAACUUUCAACAACGGAUCUCUUGGUUCUGGCAUCGAUGAAGAACGCAGCGAAAUGCGAUAAGUAAUGUGAAUUGCAGAAUUCAGUGAAUCAUCGAAUCUUUGAACGCACAUUGCGCCCUCUGGUAUUCCGGAGGGCAUGCCUGUUCGAGCGUCAUUUCAACCCUCAAGCAUUGCUUGGUGUUGGGGCACUGCUUCUUACCCAAGAAGCAGGCCCUGAAAUCUAGUGGCGAGCUCGCCAGGACCCCGAGCGCAGUAGUUAAACCCUCGCUUUGGAAGGCCCUGGCGGUGCCCUGCCGUUAAACCCCCAACUUUUGAAAAUUUGACCUCGGAUCAGGUAGGAAUACCCGCUGAACUUAAGCAUAUCAU
This 562-nucleotide ribosomal RNA is filed under the name Diaporthe sp. Its description in RNAcentral is "eukaryotic LSU rRNA". The stretch from base 197 to 350 matches the Rfam family "5.8S ribosomal RNA". Lineage: Eukaryota; Fungi; Ascomycota; Sordariomycetes; Diaporthales; Diaporthaceae. The record is from RNAcentral.